Molecule: ribosomal RNA, 253 nt
Filed under: uncultured bacterium
Lineage: Bacteria
Description: partial 16S ribosomal RNA
Rfam family: Bacterial small subunit ribosomal RNA
Source: RNAcentral
GACAGAGGGUGCAAACGUUGUUCGGAAUUACUGGGCGUAAAGGGUGCGUAGGCGGCGCGGUAAGUCGGGUGUGAAAUCUCGGAGCUUAACUCCGAAACUGCAUUCGAUACUGCCGUGCUUGAGGACUGGAGAGGAGACUGGAAUUUACGGUGUAGCGGUGAAAUGCGUAGAUAUCGUAAGGAAGACCAGUGGCGAAGGCGGGUCUCUGGACAGUUCCUGACGCUGAGGCACGAAGGUCAGGGGAGCAAACGGG